CACGUAGGCGGAUAUUUAAGUCAGGGGUGAAAUCCCAGAGCUCAACUCUGGGACUGCCUUUGAUACUGGGUAUCUUGAGUAUGGAAGAGGUAAGUGGAAUUCCGAGUGUAGAGGUGAAAUUCGUAGAUAUUCGGAGGAACACCAGUGGCGAAGGCGGCUUACUGGUCCAUUACUGACGCUGAGGUGCGAAAGCGUGGGGAGCAAACA
This 207-nucleotide ribosomal RNA is filed under the name uncultured bacterium. Its description in RNAcentral is "partial 16S ribosomal RNA". It matches the Rfam family "Bacterial small subunit ribosomal RNA", at positions 568 to 774 of the family's 1533-position model. The record is from RNAcentral.